RNAcentral lists this transfer RNA (74 nucleotides) under Candidatus Altimarinota bacterium. RNAcentral describes it as "tRNA-Gln". It matches the Rfam family "tRNA". From Rfam's summary of the family: Transfer RNA (tRNA) molecules are approximately 80 nucleotides in length. Lineage: Bacteria; Candidatus Altimarinota. The record is from RNAcentral.
UCGGGAUUAGCCAAGCGGUAAGGCCGUGGACUCUGAAUCCGCUAUCGGGGGUUCGAAUCCCUCAUCCCGAACCA